RNAcentral lists this long non-coding RNA (2300 nucleotides) under Sus scrofa (pig). Its description in RNAcentral is "lncRNA (ENSSSCG00040033834.1)". Lineage: Eukaryota; Metazoa; Chordata; Mammalia; Artiodactyla; Suidae. The record is from RNAcentral.
UUUUUUUUUUUUUUGCUUCUUGAGGCCGUACCCACGGCAUAUGGAAGUUCCCAGGCUAGAGGUGGUAUUGGAACUAGCUGCCAGACUAUGCCACAGGCACAGCAAUGCAGGAUCCAAGCCACGAUUGUGACCUACACCACAGCUCAAGGCAAUGCCAGAUCCUUAACCCACUGAGCGAGGACUGGUAUUGAACCGCCAUCCUCAUGGAUAUUAGUUGGAUUCAUUUCUGCUGUGCCANUUCUACUGUACAGCAAGGUGACCCAGUUAUACAUAGAUGUAUACAUUCUUUUUUCUCACAGUAUCAUACUCCAUCAUAAGUGACUAGAAAUAGUUCCCAGUGCUAUAUAGCAGGAUCUCAUUGCUUAUCCAUUCCAAAGGCAAUAGUUUGCAUCUAUUAACCCUAAAUUCCCAGUCCAUCCCAUUCCCUCCCCCUCCCCCUUGGCAACUACAAGUCUGUUCUCCAUGUCCAUGAUUUUCUUUUCUGUGGAAAGGUUAAUUUGUGCUGUAUAUUAGAUUCCAGAUGGAAGUGAUGUUAUAUGGUAUAUGGUAAAGUAGAGUAAAGUAAGGUAGAGUAAUGUAAAGUAAAGUAGAGUAUGGUAGAGUAAAGUGAAGUAAGGUAAAGUGAAGUGGAGUAGAGUAAAGUAAAGUAGAGUAGAGUAGAGUAAGGUGAAGUAAAGUAGAGUGAAGUAGAGUGUGGUAAAGUAGAGUAGAGUAAAGUAAAGUAGAGUAAAGUAAGGUAGAGUAAUGUAAAGUAAAGUAGAGUAUGGUAGAGUAAAAUAGAGUAUGGUAGAGUAACGUAAAAAUGCUUUGUUGAAACCCUUCAGGGAGUUGAGGGUUUUAGUGCACAAGCCACCCAUUCUCCUUGUAUUCGUGCCUUUACAAUAAACACUGCACUUUCCUUCACACAACCUGCUUUCAGCAGAUUGGCUUUACUGCCCAUACACAGGCAAGCGGGCCCAAGUUUGGUUCUGUAACAACCCCACUCCUGGAAACAAAGGAAUUCCCUAACUAGAGUAAAUGACUGUCAGGGUGGAGGGGGGAAGGUUGGGAAACUGGAAAAGGAGAAGGAUGAGAACCUUAGGUAUUUGUAUUUUCUGGGGUACUAGGUAAUGUCACAGUACCUGUCAUGGUGAACAGAUGGAGCUUGAGUGCUUUCCAUUUGUCACCUCACUGGACAGCCCUGCAACAAGAGUAUUAAUUAACAUUACUGUGUCGUAAUCCCCAGAAAAAGGUGUUUCUCAUCAGUUGGGGAUAGCAGGUGACAUUUUUUAUGCCAUGGCUCCUUUUGACAAUCGUGGGAAGAUAGCAGGUGACAUUUUUUAUGCCAUGGCUCCUUUUGACAAUCGUGGGAAGUCUACAAACAUCAUCUUAGAAUUAGGUUUUGAAAUGCAUGAAAUAAAGGAAACCAACUGUACUGCAUCACACUUCUAUCCAUGGACUCCAUGGGCCAUGUGAAGGAUUUCUGGUAGAAACUGGGCUGUUUCCACACAAAGCAAGUGUGAGAACUAGAAAGGCCAUAUGCUACAGAGUCACCCUGCUCUGCAGGCUUGUACUUGAUGGAUAGAAGAGACAGAAAGAGUGAAUGAGAGAACUCCAUGAGCUGAUUAGCUGGGGUGAUGUGCAUUUGACCUCCAAGGGCCAAAGACCAAGGCAGGUAGAAUGGCUACUGUUAGUCUUGUCCUGAGGAAGCAUUUGCACGUUCUCUCUCAUGGCUGAAGGCCUUUGUAGAAGGACUGCACCACAGGCACAGGCUGGGAUCACACCAGGCUCUAAACAAGCAGGUACCAGAGAUGGACUGAAGUGUCCAUUCCAGGUCAUCAGCGAGGAACUCAGAAGAAAGGCGUGAGGGUCCCUGUUUCAGGAGCAACACCUGGUGGCAGCAACAAGCAGAAGUGGCUCACUGAGCAAGCAAUACCAAGAAGGACUCACAUCUAGAAUUGAGAAAGCAUCCCCACCCCCAGGGUCCUUAAGGAACUGCAAAGGGAGAGCCUUCUACCAGUCAGGCUCCCAGCAGGAAACCAGGAGCCCUUCAAGGGGGACGAAUUCAGGCACUGUCUACAAAGAUGGAGGUGUGUUUAAGGGAAACGGAGAAAGGUCAAGUAGCCUAGAUCAGCUGGGGACAUUUACCUUCACCACCUUGAGAGGGGCGAGGGAAGGCAGCUGUGAUCGGAAUCCAGAGAGAUGAACAGGAAAAAAAUAUCCUAGCCUCACUUCCCUCCACCCUGCAAAGUUCCCUGAGGCUUCCCAGCGGUGGAACCCAACCCAACUCCCAAGUCCUUCAAGGGCAUAACUGACAGCCC